UAUUUUGUUGAUUUUCUGUUAGUGUCAUCCUUUGCUUGUAGUUUGGGUUUCUUAUAGCUUCAGAGGAUUCUGCACUUAUGAAGGUUUUGGUAUGCUUGUAAGUUUUAAAUCUUUUGUGUGAAAUGUAAUUCAUCCACAUUGUGAUCAUACCAGCACUAGUAUACCGGAUCGAAACAAAAAUGUAAUUUAUCCUUGUGAAAAUUUUAUGCAUGUCUGAGAUUCAUGGACUGUUAUUCAGCUAAUUCCUAGACUGUAGGAUAAUUUGAUUAUUGAUCUUGCUGAAAUCCAUAAUCACCUUUCAGUUCUUCAUAAAAUCUAGACACCUUUUUCUCCCUUCUUUAUCAAAAAUUUACUAACUGUUUGGUAUCAUUGUUGAUUUUGUGGCUUUGUUUCUCUACAUAUUAGUGAAAUACCACAUGCAGCUUGAUGGUGAAGAUAGCACUUGCAAAAAUUAUGCUACUCGCUUUUAUUUCCGCUCUCUUUUUUUUAAAGCAAUAAAUCGUAGCUGCCAAAAGCUCUAAAGAUUUUACAAAAAACUUAGAAAAAAAAGCAUUUCAUUGCACUUGUUGUUCAGUCUAGUCCACAUUUCUUUUUUUUUUUGAAAAAGAAAAUGCCAAGCAAGCCCUGAAUUUUUGCUUUUGGUUCUCAAGGUAAGCCUACAUCCAGCAUUGAUCUGUGUUCUCCACCCUGCUCUCCCCUCCCAAACCCCACUUAAACUAUUGGGUUUCAUAACCACCUUGUUUCUUUUGCAACUUGCCUUUUUUUCCAAUUAAUUUAGAGUUGUUGGAGAUAUGAGCAAAAGAAUUGAUGAGCUGUUUCAGCGACAUGGCAGUCUUGCAUAUAAACCUCAUGUUAUGCACAUGCAUAUAAUGAAACUAGAAUAGGUGAUUUCUUCAACCUUUCCUAAGAUAGAUAGGUUCUAAACAUGGAAAUGAGGAUUAAUACUUUUGCAUUAUGGUUGGUUUUGAUAAAUGAUCAGUUGACGAUUUUGUACUAUCAAUUGAUUAUGUUCUCAUUUCAAAUUCCAACUCAUUACAAACCAUUUUGCAACUUGACUUUGGAUAGUUGUGAUAAUUCUUGAUUUUUUUUUGUAGCGGUCUCUCUCUCUCUCUUAUAUCACAAUCCAGUGCACUGCUGUAUAUACUACUAUAUGCAGUUCACUUUGGUGAAUCAUUUAUCUUGUGAUAAGACAUUCUUUCAGUUGCAAAAUAAAAUUUGUUUUUCAUUUAAAGUUCAGUAUUCUGUCAAUUUUCCUAAGCGAUGCAAAAAAUGUUAUAUGGCUUCUCACUCUUUCAGUCCGCAAUUCUAUCCGAAAAAAGUUUUAUGAAUCCAAAAUUCUGAUUUAUACCUAAGGAAGAUGUAAUAUUAAAUACUGGUAUCCUCCUUAGGUAUCAAACAUUUAAUUAUGACAAAGAUGAGGCCUUUCGCUGUGGUUUCUUCCAUCUGAUAUCUGCUGUUAAGUGUUAAGGCAUCAAUAUCAUCAGGGAAUAAGUCCAAUAUUGCUUGGUUGCAGUUUGAGUUUUCACUGAAGGGACAUUAUCUGCCUCAAGUCUGUUGCUUGUGACUUCCAUUUUGAAAGGGGAAAAUUUCAAAAUAGCUCAAACGGAACACUUUGUAUUCCCAUGUUGUAUAUUUAUUUUAUUUAGUCUGAUAUUGUAUAUACCUUUGAGAUUUGUCUAGUGAUGCGUCUGUACAACUACCAGUCCAAGUUCAGGUACUAUACACUUGCUUUGGUUGUUUUAUGAAGUGUUUCGUAGCUUCGAAUUUAGUAAGGAGAAAUAAUUCUUGUGGGAGCUUAUAUUUGGUUUGACUAGUUAUUCUUUCUUAGAGUGACUUGUAACACUUGAUAUACCAUGUAUUUUAGAAUCGGUGAGCUUUA
RNA transcript from Phoenix dactylifera (date palm), 1879 nucleotides. RefSeq lists it as uncharacterized. The record is from RefSeq and is a predicted model, not a curated record. Lineage: Eukaryota; Viridiplantae; Streptophyta; Magnoliopsida; Arecales; Arecaceae.